CAAAUUAAGGUUUUUUUCUUCUGUUUUCUUGACAAGAAAAUGUCGCCCAAAGAGUUUCGGCCGUUAUUUUUCCUAUCGAAGUGGGUCCUUUUUGUCUUUAGUCCUUCUCUGGGGCUAGCGAUCACUGCAAAAUUAGGCUUCACUGGUACGAGUUAACUUUUUUUCUUUUUUUUUGUCAUCCUUUUCUUUGGGGCUAAGAAUGGACUUCCCUUUUCUUUUUCUUUGUUGCAGCAGUGGCUUCAAAGAACUGCUGAUUGCUCAAGGCAAUCAGUCCGAGCGUUUAGAAGGUGAUUGUAGGCAGAAAUUAACUUUGCGGUAAAAGAAUGACAUUCUUUCUUAAAAGAAAAAUUAGCUUUUUUUUGUCAGGCAUUGCACAAACUUUUUUAUUUCUGCCUAUACUCUUAAACAGAUCAGUCAUUCAUGUUGUCUUUUUAACGGUCGUACUGGGACAUCGCAUGCCUUGGGAUUCCGUAAUUAGGUGCAACAAUACGGGCACAACUCAUUCUGCGCUAUCUUCACGGACAGAACUUCUAUUGCCUAUCGGUGGUGUGAUUAACAAUUGGAAGCGCAGAGCUUGGAAUGGAUUUUCAAUUCAAUGGAUUUGGAGGUAUUCGUUUGUUUACUAAUAUUUACUUUGAGGACAUUGUCCAACCCUAAAAGUGCCUGUUCCAGAAUAGAAUAACAUUAUGAUACGUUUUCUUGACCGCUGAGCAAUUUAAAGCAACUAUUAGGGUACGAUUGUUUCUAGAGAAAUGUGGGUCAUCUUUUUAGGUCCGUUCUCUUCUGAUGAGGUAACCUUUUCUUUACAAAAAUGUCAUAGAGUUACCAAUUGGGAUUCAAGGCAUCAUCGCAAUAUACUUCGUUCUUUUACGGAGAAAUUAAGCUCUUUCCACUUUGAAUUAACUGUUAGACUUGUCUUAUCUGAGGAAUGUCCGUGUUCAAAUUAAAUAAAAAUUUAGGGCAGUUUUAUUUACCUUAACAAAUAUGUUCAAGCAU
This 996-nucleotide small RNA is filed under the name Saccharomyces cerevisiae YJM193. RNAcentral describes it as "partial ICR1". The record is from RNAcentral. Lineage: Eukaryota; Fungi; Ascomycota; Saccharomycetes; Saccharomycetales; Saccharomycetaceae.